AUGAGAGUGGUUCACAUCUCAGACACCGUCUCCAACAAGGUUCACAUCUCAGACACCGUCUCCAACUGCAACAAGGUUCACAUCUCAGACACCGUCUCCAACAAGGUUCACAUCUCAGACACCGUCUCCAACUGCAACAAGGUUCACAUGUCAGACACCGUCUCCAACUGCAACAAGGUUCACAUCUCAGACACCGUCUCCAACAAGGUUCACAUCUCAGACACCGUCUCCAACUGCAACAAGGUUCACAUCUCAGACACCGUCUCCAACAAGGUUCACAUCUCAGACACCGUCUCCAACUGCAACAAGGUUCACAUCUCAGACACCGUCUCCAACAAGGUUCACAUCUCAGACACCGUCUCCAGCUGCAACAAGGUUCACAUCUCAGACACCGUCUCCAACAAGGUUCACAUCUCAGACACCGUCUCCAACAAGGUUCACAUCUCAGACACCGUCUCCAACAAGGUUCACAUCUCAGACACCGUCUCCAACAAGGUUCAUAUCUCAGACACCGUCUCCAGCUGCAACAAGGUUCACAUCUCAGACACCGUCUCCAACAAGGUUCACAUCUCAGACACCGUCUCCAGCUGCAACAAGGUUCACAUCUCAGACACCGUCUCCAACAAGGUUCACAUCUCAGACACCGUCUCCAACUGCAACAAGGUUCACAUCUCAGACACCGUCUCCAACAAGGUUCACAUCUCAGACACCGUCUCCAACUGCAACAAGGUUCACAUCUCAGACACCGUCUCCAACUGCAACAAGGUUCACAUCUCAGACACCGUCUCCAACAAGGUUCACAUCUCAGACACCGUCUCCAGCUGCAACACGGUUCACAUCUCAGACACCGUCUCCAACUGCAACAAGGUUCACAUCUCAGACACCGUCUCCAACUGCAACAAGGUUCACAUCUCAGACACCGUCUCCAACUGCAACAAGGUUCACAUCUCAGACACCGUCUCCAGCUGCAACAAGGUUCACAUCUCAGACACCGUCUCCAACAAGGUUCACAUCUCAGACACCGUCUCCAACAAGGUUCACAUAUCAGACACCGUCUCCAACAAGGUUCACAUCUCAGACACCGUCUCCAACUGCAACAAGGUUCACAUCUCAGACACCGUCUCCAACUGCAACAAGGUUCACAUCUCAGACACCGUCUCCAACAAACUUCACAUCUCAGACACAAUCUCCAACUGCAACAAACUUUCAUUCUCUACUUUACACUGCCACCCUGGACGGAGACACUGGAGGAAAGACCUGUUACAGACAGGUUGCUCUUGGAGGAAAGGCCUGUUACAGACAGAUUGCUCUUGGAGGAAAGGCCUGAUACAGACAGGUUGCUCUUGGAGGAAAGGCCUGUUACAGACAGAUUGCUCUUGGAGGAAAGGCCUGUUACAGACAGACUGCUCUUGGAGGAAAGGCCUGUUACAGACAGAUUGCUCUUGGAGGAAAGGCCUGUUACAGACAGAUUGCUCUUGGAGGAAAGGCCUGUUACAGACAGGUUGCUCUUGGAGGAAAGGCCUGAUACAGACAGACUGCUCUUGGAGGAAAGGCCUGUUACAGACAGACUGCUCUUGGAGGAAAGGCCUGUUACAGACAGACUGCUCUUGGAGGAAAGGCCUGUUACAGACAGACUGCUCUUGGAGGAAAGGCCUGUUACAGACAGAUUGCUCUUGGAGGAAAGGCCUGAUACAGACUGCUCUUGGAGGAAAGGCCUGUUACAGACAGACUGCUCUUGGAGGAAAGGCCUGUUACAGACAGGUUGCUCUUGGAGGAAAGGCCUGA
RNAcentral lists this long non-coding RNA (1785 nucleotides) under Oncorhynchus mykiss (rainbow trout). RNAcentral describes it as "lncRNA (ENSOMYG00000049292.1)". Lineage: Eukaryota; Metazoa; Chordata; Actinopteri; Salmoniformes; Salmonidae. The record is from RNAcentral.